Molecule: non-coding RNA, 186 nt
Organism: Vicia faba (fava bean)
Lineage: Eukaryota; Viridiplantae; Streptophyta; Magnoliopsida; Fabales; Fabaceae
Source: the annotation of a GenBank genome assembly
AUGAAAAGAAAAACUAUAGAGAAGAAAAACCAGGGAACAGGUAGAGGAAAGAUUGAUGUUGAAUCUGAAUUUUGGUUUGGAAGGUUGCAAUUUGAUUCAUUUUGUUUAUAUUUGAAAUUGCAAUUUUGGUUAGUUUUAAAUAUGACUUAUCAGUUUGAGUUAAAUUCUGAGUGUGAUGGCUAUUAG